Molecule: small nuclear RNA, 103 nt
Organism: Mastomys coucha (southern multimammate mouse)
Lineage: Eukaryota; Metazoa; Chordata; Mammalia; Rodentia; Muridae
Source: RefSeq, a predicted model, not a curated record
UUGCUUCAGCAGCACAUAUACUAAAAUUGGAACAAUGCAGAGAAGAUUAGCAUGACCCUUGCACAAGGAUGACACAAAAAUUCAUGAAUCAUUCCAUACUUUU